GUGCUGGGUUUAUAUGCAUGAGCCAUUGUGCCUGGAUUGUUUUUUAAUUUUUAUUUUUUGUGAGUACAUAGUAGGUGUAUAUAUUUAUGGAGUACAUAAGAUGUUUUGACACAGGCAUGCAAUGCAUAAUAAUCACAUCUUGCAGAAUGAGGUAUCCAUCCCCUCAAGCAUUUAUCCAUUGUGUUACAAACAAUCCAACUAUACUUUAUAAUAACUUAUUUUAAAAUCUACAAUUAAAUUAUUAGUGACUAGAGUGACCCUAUUAUGUUAUCUAAUGGUAGGUCUUAUUUAUUCUAACCCCAAAGUGCUAGGAUUACAGGCGUGAGCCACCGCGCCCGGCCCUAUUUUUUUUUUUACACCCGUUAACCAUCCCCACCUUUCUCCAAUUCCCCUAUUACAAUUCCCAGUCCCUGGUAAACAAAUUUUGGCGAUUGUGAACAGUGCUGUAACAAACAAAGAAGUGCAGAUAUCUCUUAAAUAUACUGAUUUCCAUAAAAUAUAUCUAUUAUCGAUAUCAAUUUAUAAACAAAUAACCUGAACUCAGAAAGUUUAAAUAAUUUUAUCAAGUUGUAAAGGUAGUAAAUGCCAGAUCAACAUUACUUUAAAUCUUGAAUAUUGUGAUUGCUUAUAUUCUCCUUUAGCAAACCUAAGCAAACAGAGAUAUAAAAUUAUCAUUAUUACAAAAUAUGCUUUAUUCUUUUUACACUGAGGUGAUAAUAUGGAAGUCCUAUUGAAAAAGAAAUCAGCACCAUGGUCAGAUCCACACCCUCUGAUGUGCACUUCCUAUCCCCCUUUCCUUAGGCACACAAAGCUUCUAUAUUUUUAAUUUUCCCACUUGCCCUCCUAUUAUUUCUAUAGUACAUAUUAUCCUUCUAACUCAUAAACUAGGUUCUAUGCUUUCAUUACUGGUCUACAUUCCAAAAACCCUAGAGGGAUUUUAUCCUUACCACAUAUUCCAUUUUGCAUCACUUAGAAAACAAAAAUUUUCACACUCUUUGGACUUUCCGAAACGACGGUAGAAUUAUAGCUGAUUUUCAGCAACCUAAACUUAACAAUGGUUUGUAUUGUAAAUGUUUAUUUGUGUUUCUGUCUUUAAAUGGGACUAUUAAAUAGGGAUCCACCUGCCUCGGCUUCCCAAAGUGCUGGGAUUACAGGUAUGAGCCACUGCACCCGGCCAACAAUCUUAUUUUAAAAUAAUGCAUUGUAGUGAGCUGAGAUCAGAGCCAUAAGUGGGGCAACUGGAAUCACAGCUGGAAUGACUGAGUAGCACACCACUGGCGUGCAGAGAAUAGUCACAAGGAACUUAAACAAAUUUACAAGAAAAAAAAACCAAACAACCCCAUUAAAAAGUGGGCAAAGGACAUGAAGAGACACUUCUCAAAAGAAGAUAUGCAUGUGACCAACGAACACAUGAAAAAUGGGUAUUUACAUCACUGACAAUAUAUCAUUAUUUUGAAAAUGCUGCACUAAGUAUACUUGAGGUGAAUAUGAACAUAUCUGCAAAUAUUUCUUCAAAUUAAUUUCUGGAAGUCUAGAUUAGUAUUUUGCACAGUUUUAUUUUUAUCAUUUAAAUUUAAUUUUAUGCUUUCCCUCCUUUGUCUUUAAUUUUUUGCCAUUCAAUUAUGACAUUUUAAAUGGCCCUUCUAUCUGUAGUUGGUUUCAAAAAAUAUAUUCAUAUGUCAAUUCAUAUGUCAAUAAGACUUUCUUUUUUUCUCUGAAUCUACUUAGUUGUGCUUCCUUAGACAACCUAUAACUCAGGAAAUCAAAACUCUGUAUCUCCUUACCGCCUCAUGGGUGGUGAUGUUAUGUUAUUCACCUUGGUUUUAUGAAGUGGUUCUCUUUGGUGCUCCUGAUAAUUCUAAUAUUAAAAAUUAUGCAGGUCUAUUUUUGCACUGUUAUUUCUUUUGAUUAUUUCUUAUGAUCCCAUGUUUUUGUCUUUCAUUUUAUACAUGAUUUGACUAUUUUUCUUGGAAAACUUCUGUUAUUUAAUUAAGGCAUUUGUAUUUGCUUCUGCUAGCCACUUAGUGGCAAGGAGCAUUUGAAAUUAUAUAAACCUAAUAGCUUGUCUUAUACAACUUUAAUCUGUAUGUAUCUUAUACUACUUGGGCAAGUUCCAUUCUUUUCCUUUUUCCCCAUGUAACUAAAAUAUAUUUAAAAACCAUAGCUCAAAUAUUUCAAGUUUGGCAGGUGUCUUUCUUUAUAUCCCUGGUGUGUGAUGUUCCCCUUCCUGUAUCCAAGUGUUCUCAUUGUUCAAUUCCCACCUGUGAGUGAGAACGUGCAGUGUUUGUUUUUUUGUCCUUGCAAUAGUUUGCUGAGAAUGAUGGUUUCCAGCUUCAUCCAUGUCCCUACAAAGGAUGAUUUUAUGACUAUGUAUGUUGGUGAUGGUCUUUUUGUGAUGAAUUUCCCAGGAAGUAUACGAGGUUUCUGUAUUCAGGCGUCUAGAUCUCUAGGAAGGCCAGAGAAGUUUUCCUCUAUUAUUCCUUCAAAUAAAUUUUUUUGAGAAGUGUCUGUUCAUACCCUUUACCCACAUUUUGAAGGAGUCGUUUGUUUUUUUCUUCUAAAUUUAGACAUUUAGAAUUACACAUGAAGGCAUUAGAAGUCAUUGAUAAAUUUUAGUUAUGGAUAAACAUUUUAUCAGGUUUUUUGUGUUAGCAAUAUAAUUCAGUCUAGUGUAUGGAGAAUGGAUUAGAGUAUGGAUAAAUUUGGAGAAGGAAGCAAGGAGUUAGAAAUAGUUGCAGUUAUCCAAGUGAGAGAUAUAUGGUGUAUGAAUUAUUGGAAUUUGAAGUCUAGAUACAGAUAAGUAAUUAGAAAUAAGGUGUAUUAGGAGGUAGAAUCCAGGGAAUUGGUAAUUUGCAGUGAGCUGAGAUCACACCACUGAACUGUAGCCUGGGUGACAGAGUGAGACUCCGUCUCAAAAAAAAAAAAAAAAAAAAGAAAAAAGAAAAAAAAUGAAAAAGAACACUGUUUUCAAUUAAGGAACACUGGAUUCCUUUUUCAUUAUGGUCAACUAUACUAAGUAAGAUUAUAAGUGACUUAAAUAAAGUGCAAUACAAAGAAAUAUUUUGAUGAAAACAUUUGUCCCAGCAAAUGAGCCAAAAUAAGACCCAAACAAAAGUAAACUAGUUAUCUUUUAUUUCCUUUCCAUCUUUAUUAUUACCAUUUGUCAUUUAAAAUGAGUUUUCCUUCAUGCAGAUUGUCUCUCAGUUGAAAUUUAAUAUGUAAAUCUUAGCAGUUCAUUUGGUUCCUAAAAACUUGGGGUGUACUGGUACAACAUAUGCACAUUGUGCUUCUGCAAGGAAGAUAAUUCAAUCAUACGCUAGCCCCCUCCCCAGAGGAAUAGCAAUUUAUGAAGGGCAAGCUAUGAAGAACACUUGUUUUACUUAUUCUCCUGCCUGUGUGUGCCUCCUGGUUAAAAUGGGUUAGCAGACAGCGUGCAUGGUUUAACUUAGAGUCAGAGAAAGCAAUUAUAUUACAUGAUAUUUGUAAGGAUAACUUAUAGAUAAGGAGUAGGGAGCAGGGGUCAGAAUGGUAGCCAGUGGGAAACGUGCCACUGAUGUUCAGGGAAAGAAAAAGAAGAACAAGGAAUAGUCCCAAAGCUAAGGUAGAAAACAGAAAUUUAAAUAGACCCCAGGAUAAAUACUAGAUGAGACAGAAACCCAACUUAGGGCCAGACUCUAUUUACUUCAACAAGGGAAGCAGCUGGAGGGUAAGCAGCUGUAUAAUUCAACAUAUAUAACUUGGGUUAAUACCAGUGGGUGAAGAAAAGUUUGGGGCAAUUGAAAGAGUAGGAUAAGCAGAGUUGUGACUUAGAUAAAAAACAAUUUACAGAGAAAAAGCAUUAGGGAAAAGUAGGCAUAGUAAGCAUAUUUUAACUGAUCAGGAGGGUCCUUCGAAAUGUAAAUGAAAGUAUAAAUGUAGUUAUAAUUUACUAUAUAAAGCAAUUAUAGUGGGUGCUUUCGAUGCCCUGUCCAUAUCCAAUUUACUAGGUGGUAUACACCUACCUUCUAGUUGGGAGGGGCUAUGUUAACAGCUUAUACCCGGGAUGGAUGUUACAUUUCCCGUCCAUUGCACUUAUGGCUUAAUAAGGGGGCUCUGUGGUCUAUUUGCUUUGCUUAAGAGGGAUGACUCUGCAAUGUGAUUUAUGCUCCAGAGCAUGCUCAUGAAUCAGAUCAAGGAUAGAAUCUAUGUGAGACUACACUCUUGCCCAGCUCCUUCCUCUUUCCUAUUUGGCUGCCCACAUUCGCAGGUUUUCCUGAUGAGAGCUCCCUCAAUCUUAUCCACCUGAAACCCUGACACUAGCUUUGCUUCUGCAGUGCCUGACCUUGAAUAGUUGGUACUAGUCAAUCUACUAUAUUCAUGUCAGUAACAAAAUGUCCCAAUUCCAUUUAUUAUCUUGCUAGAUGUUGUGGUACAGGAAGGUGUACGAGGAGGCAAUUAGAACAGCUAUUGAGCUAUAUCUCUUGACUUUUGAAGAACAGUUUUGCCAGGCAUAGUAUUCUUGGUUGUCAGUUCUCCCCCGCCUCCCCUCAGCACUUUGAAAAUAUCUUCCCACUUUUCUAUGCUGCAAAGUUUCUAUUGAAAAUUCUGCUUAUAUUCUUAUAGUGGUUCUCAGAUAAGUGACAAGUUGUACAAUCAGCAUCAGUAUAAAAGUAAGUAGCCGGGUGUGGUCACUCAUGUCUGUAAUCCUGGCACUUUGGGAGACUGAGGCCGGCAGAUCACGAGGUCUGGAGUUUGAGGCCAGCCUGAUCAGCGUGAUGAAACCCCAUCUCUACUAAAAAUACAAAAAUUAGCCAGGUGUGGUGGCACAUGCCUGUAAUCCCAGCCACUCAGGAGGCUGAGGCAGGAGAAUCCCUUGAACCUGGGUGGUGGAGGUUGCAGUGAGCUGAGAUCACGCCACUGCACUCCAGCCUGGGCCACAGGGCAAGACUCUUUCUCAAAAAAAAAAAAAAGAAAAGAAAAAAAAAGUAAAAGUAAGUAAAUUAAUAGAUCUAAAUCUACAGACUAUGUUCUAGAUAUCAUUUGAGUAUGUGGUAGAUAUAAUAAAUAGUUGGUUUCAAUUGUUUAUUUCACAUUCUUGCCUUAGACACAUGGUAGGCAGAAUAACUUUCUGUCCUUGCCUAGGCCUUCACUAUACUAUUUGAUUUUGGUCAACUAGAUGUUACAGCACUCAAUGCAAGUGGAGGCUUGAAAUGUACAUACCUGUUUGGGCUUCCUCAUUGGGCUUUUGAUAUCACCAUCAGAAUAGCAUACCUCAGCAGUCACUGUCCCUUUAACCUAAGCCCCACAUGAAACACAUGAAAAAUACUUGAACUUGAGCUGUAGCCCAAAGCUAUGCUGACUAAAUCCAGCCAAGCCCAGCCAAGAUCAGCCAAAUACCAUCUGACACUCUGGUUCUGAGUGAUGAAAGUAAAUAUUUGUUGUUGUAAGCCACUAAACAUUUGAGAGUGUUUGUUAUGUAAUUAAUUAUUGUAGACAAAGAUAAUGUAUAGCUUAAGUAUUGAAUUUUUUUCUAAAAAGGUAAAUGUUUAAUAUAUAGAAAAGAUUCAUAACUGGUGCAAACUUUGCACCCAAAAGGACAUUGUAUAAUGCCUGCAAUUUUUGGUAGUCACAAAUCAGAAGGAACUAUUGGCAUGUAGUCCAAUAUGUCAAUAGUGCCUAGGGUGAUCACCCAUGAAUUAAAAGUUUACAUUAGAUAUUGAAAUGAGUCAAAUGAUUUGUUUAAAAACAAGAAAAUGGCCAGGGACAGUAGUUCACACCUGUAAUUCCAGCACUUUGGGAGGUCAGCCUCUCAAAAUGGUCGAAUUAUGGGCGUGAGCCACUGUGCCUGGCCAUUUUGUAGGCCCUCUCAACAAGAGACCUCACCUCUACACACACACACACACACACACACACACACACACACAAUAGCUGGGUGCUACCAAACAGCUAAUGUGUGUAUGUGCCUGGCUGCAGCGAGCUGUGAUCUCGUGACUGCAUUCCAGCCUGGGCACCAGAAUGGGACCCCAUCUCCAAAAAAUAAAACAAAAUACCAAAAACCCCAAGAAAAUGUUUAGUUUUUACAUCUAUGGACUUGAAUAUAUGGCCACAUGUUCACCAAAAACUUCGGCAAUGUACCCACAAAACUGUCAUAUAUCAAGCCUCCUUCUCCAUUCUCAUGGCUUCUUUUUGACUUCAUAUUUUGUUCUUCCAAUUAGAGUAUGGUAUCUUGGGAUGUUUUCCUGGUUUCAGUAUUGCUCAUGAUUCCAAUCUAACUUUGACAGUGCUAGCAACAUAAUCUUUUAUAAGGUUUAGUUUUAGUCAUGUCACACAGAGAAUUCACAUGGAUAAGUUUUAUAAUUUUUCAAAUCUUUUAUAUUUUGACUGAUUCUAAAAUUUCUCCUUCAACAAACUCAGACCCACUGUCUGAAACACAUACUAUAUUUGAUUGACUCACCAUAUAAAUACCCAUUACCUCUAUGAGGCUUAAAAUUAUAUUAUAACCAGAGCACUUCAAUUCACUGGACAAAAAAUUUUAAAAAUUUAAAAUUCAAAAAUUUUAAAAAUACUAUAGGCUCAUGCCUGUAGUCCCAGCUACUCUGGAGGCUGAGGUGAGGGGACUGUGGUCCCAGCUACUCUGGAGGCUGAGGUGAGGAGCCUGUGGUCCCAGCUACUCUGGAGGCUGAGGUGAGGGGACUGUGGUCCCAGCUACUCUGGAGGCUGAGGUGAGGGGACUGCUUGAGCCUGGGAGGUUGAGGCUGCAGUGAGCCAUCAAUGCAGGAGUGCACUCCGGCCUGAGUGCCAGAACAAAAGAAGAAAAGAAAAGAAUUUGGCUAAAAAGAAGAAAGAAAAAUAGAUCAUAAAUGAUUCUUUAGGUUUGUAGUUUAGGUGCUUCAGUAGAUGUUUAUGCUAUUGAUGAUUAUAGACAAUUCACAAACAGAAUUUAUUGAGGAUAAAAGUUCAUUGAAUGAGAUUGGGACACGUUACAUUUAGAAAUUUGAAGUUUUGUGAAAUAACCAUGGUUUAAAUGAUAGUCAAUUCCACAUAAGUGCUAAUAAAAAGAAUGAUAAUGUAUGAGAAAAUACAGUAGGAACCUCAAAAUUGAAGCAAAAUAAUCUGAAGGUAAAAAUCGUUUUUUUUUUUUUUUUUUUUUUUGAGAUGGAGUCUGGCUCUGUCACCAAGGCUGGAGUGCAGUGGUGUGAUCUUGGCUCACUGCAACUUCUGCCUCCCAAGUUCAAGCGAUUCUCCAGCCUCAGCCUCCCAAGUAAGUGGGAUUACAGUCAUGUGCCACCAUGUCUGGCUAAUUUUGUGUGUGUGUGUGUGUGUGUGUGU
This 7308-nucleotide long non-coding RNA is filed under the name Homo sapiens (human). RNAcentral describes it as "non-protein coding lnc-VGLL3-9:1". The record is from RNAcentral. Lineage: Eukaryota; Metazoa; Chordata; Mammalia; Primates; Hominidae.